This 1858-nucleotide long non-coding RNA is filed under the name Nicotiana tabacum (common tobacco). RNAcentral's name for it is "long non-coding RNA (NTAB_LNC019341)". Lineage: Eukaryota; Viridiplantae; Streptophyta; Magnoliopsida; Solanales; Solanaceae. The record is from RNAcentral.
AUCUUUUGAGAACGCUUAUCCACAUAUGAAGCUACACUUUACUAGCAUUACUUUUGGUAUAUUUAAAUGCAACACUGCCCAAACGUGGUCUAAAAUGUUUACGAAAUUCAUACAAGACUUUCCCACUUAAACUAUUCCCUCUAAAAUUUCUAACUUAAACUAUUCCCUCUAAAAUUUUCCAUAGCUUCCCCCUCACUCUAGGUCUAGGGCUUGAAUCCCACGAAGAAAACUUUUUCUGCACUCGAUUUUUCAAAAGAUGGGAUUGUCGAUGGCACCUAGUCGGUGACGAUCUUCAGAAGAAGAUCUGAUUUACUUAACUCAGCUUCUCCAGACAACAAGAAAGGUUCGGUAUUCGAGUUUUAUCGAUUUUGUUGAAACCAAUAGAGAAUUUGUUCAAGUCAGUACUCGAUUUAUCUAGGCAUUUACUACUUUUAUUUGGUAUUUGCAUUUAAUUGAAGAAGUUCCAUUAUUUAAAUUUGCUUCUGAAUGUAGAGUAAAUGGAUUUUUCACGGAAUACUGUGCCUUUCUUCUUAAUUUGGGGAAAACAUGGGUUAGACGACUUGUAGAUCUUUUAAUGUAUCUGUGUAUGGAUUGAUUUGUUGUGGGUUUCACAUAAGAGGUUUGAAAUUGUUCUAUUAGAAUUUUUUAUACCGCUUUAUUGUCUAACAUAUUCACCUACAUUUUAAUAUUUUUAUAUUUUUGACAAUGCAUUUGUUUAUAUUUCUUUAAUUUUCUUUUGCUUGUUCUAGAUAAUGAAGGAAGAGUUGGGGAUUGCCGAGGAUAUUUGAAAUGUCCACUUAAAUGAUAAAGUAUUGUCAAACUCACGAAUUUAGCUAAACCAUAUUUCUUUAGUGGAACUCAACUUGAUUGACUUGAAUAGAACUAAAAGCUCCUGUUUUUCAUUGAAGAACUCGAAUAUUUCAAGACUGCACAAGUCCGUUUAGAAUUUAUGUUAUAGAUGAGUUUACAAAUCUAACGGAGAAACAAUUCUGGUGGCAUGAACCUGAAGCUUUAAACCAGUUUUGAUUGUUUUAUUUUUUUAUAACAGGUCUACAUCAUUGGCCAUGGUCUGACCAAGAAGUACAGAGAUCUUCAGACACAUAAGCAUACCAUCCAGGUAUAAAAAUUAAACAUACUUGUUGGGUUGAUUUGAUAACUGAUCAAUUAACUACUUUGUGUUUUUACAAUUCUCAAGAAAAGAAAGAGAAACUACAUUAUGUUAGUAUUAUAGAUGAUUAAUCUCUUUGUCUUGUUGUUCUCAUAUAAGUUAUUUUAGUUCCUUUGUUUGCACUAUUUCCUUUGUCUUUAGUAUACUCUUGCUUUGCUUUGUUGAGUCACGCUCUGACUAGUUCAGUAUCUCGUAAUAACUUUUAUUAUUUUGUCCCUAUUUAAUAGUAUUGUAAGAGAAGGUAAAACAUACAUUUAACUUUGUGGUCUAAGAGUAGUGUGUUUCUUCCACUCCACUAUGUCAUUAAUUGUUAUCUUAAUUUGUUAGGGACAUGAUGAAAAAUAGUUUUGUCACUCUUUGGGUUCUUUUUCCAUUUAUCAUUUUCUGUUUAUUUCAAUCAUGUUAAGGUCUUAUAACUCUUUAUAUAUCAUGUUCUGUUUAACUUUGUGGUCUAAGAGUAGUGUGUUUCAAUCAUGCUUGAUGCUUUUUGAGGAAGUUUUCUCAAUUAAAUAUAACUUUGACUGCUAAGGUCAUGGCAAUAGACUCUGUCUGCUGAUAAUAAAUGUGCAGAACUACUUAAAACACAGAACGGUUGAUGCCAUUGACACUCGAUCCUGGGUGCUUCAAUUUAAUGAUCAUAUUGUGUCUUUUGUUGACCAAAGUUUUGACUUUUAGUAAUCCUCUUCAGUU